Molecule: ribosomal RNA, 457 nt
Filed under: uncultured bacterium
Lineage: Bacteria
Description: bacterial SSU rRNA
Rfam family: Bacterial small subunit ribosomal RNA
Source: RNAcentral
AUGAACGCUGGCGGCGUGCUUAAUACAUGCAAGUCGAACGGAGAUAGUAGCAAUAUUAUCUUAGUGGCGAACGGGUGAGUAACGCGUUGGUGACCUGCCCCGAAGAGAGGGAUAGCAGUUCGAAAGGACUGAUAAUACCUCAUGUGGUUGUUGGUUUUAGAAUCUGACAACUAAACGGAUUUAUUCGCUUCGGGAGGGGCCUGCGUCCCAUCAGCUAGUUGGUAGGGUAAUGGCCUACCAAGGCGAUGACGGGUAGGGGACCUGAGAGGGUGGCCCCCCACAAUGGAACUGAAACACGGUCCAUACACCUACGGGUGGCAGCAGUAGGGAAUAUUGGUAAUGUGCGAAAGCGCGAACCAGCAACGCCGCGUGCACGAUGAAGGCCUUCGGGUCGUAAAGUGCUUUUGUCUGUGACGAAUAUGACGGUAGCAGACGAAUAAGGAUCGGCUAACUACGU